UCCCUGAUGGUCCAGUAGUUAGAACUCUGUGCUGUCACUGCUGAGAGCCUGGGUUCAAUCCCUGGUCAGGAAC
Molecule: transfer RNA, 73 nt
Filed under: Bos taurus (domestic cattle)
Lineage: Eukaryota; Metazoa; Chordata; Mammalia; Artiodactyla; Bovidae
Also listed under: 5 other names
Rfam family: tRNA
About the family: Transfer RNA (tRNA) molecules are approximately 80 nucleotides in length. Their secondary structure includes four short double-helical elements and three loops (D, anti-codon, and T loops).
Source: Rfam by way of RNAcentral